RNAcentral lists this long non-coding RNA (500 nucleotides) under Citrus maxima (pomelo). RNAcentral's name for it is "long non-coding RNA (CMAX_LNC001794)". The record is from RNAcentral. Lineage: Eukaryota; Viridiplantae; Streptophyta; Magnoliopsida; Sapindales; Rutaceae.
UGAUGGCGAUGGCGGGGGCUUAUAAUGAGUUGGCGGUGGAGGUGAAGGCAAUGGAGGUGGGGGCGAAUAUUCUACACAUGGUGGCGGUGGAGGGGGAGGUGGUUCUAUACAAGGGGGUGGGGAUGGAGGUGGUGGCAAAUGGACUGGUGGAGGUGGCGGGGGAGAUUGGUAUGGAUAAAUAGGAGGUGGGGGUGAAUGUGGCGGUGGAGGUGGUUCUAUACAAGGGGGUGGGGAUGGAGGUGGUGGUGAAUGGACUGGUGGAGGUGGCGGGGGAGAUUGGUAUGGAUAAAUAGGAGGUGGGGGUGAAUGUGGCGGUGGAGGUGGUGGUGAGCUAUAAAUGUAAGGGUUUGGCGGUGGUGAGGAGUACAGUGGAGGAGGUGGUGGAGGAGAAUUUGGCGGAGGUGGUGGAGGGCGGACACAAUACGGUGGUGGUGGAGAAGAGUAAACAGGAGGGGGCGGGGGUGAUGGUGAUGGAGGAGGAGGCGGAGGCAAGUAUACAG